AGAAUCCAUCUGGGGUCGGCCAGCUCCCAGGCUGCACGAGGUGUACACAGAAAACCCAAAACAAAGUUGGCAAA
Unclassified non-coding RNA from Cavia porcellus (domestic guinea pig), 74 nucleotides. The record is from Ensembl. Lineage: Eukaryota; Metazoa; Chordata; Mammalia; Rodentia; Caviidae.